CGGCACGGGUGAGUAACACGUAUCCAACCUGCCGUCCACUCUUGGCCAGCCUUCUGAAAGGAAGAUUAAUCCAGGAUGGCAUCAUGAGUUCACAUGUCCGCAUGAUUAAAGGUAUUUUCCGGUAGACGAUGGGGAUGCGUUCCAUUAGAUAGUAGGCGGGGUAACGGCCCACCUAGUCAACGAUGGAUAGGGGUUCUGAGAGGAAGGUCCCCCACAUUGGAACUGAGACACGGUCCAA
This 238-nucleotide ribosomal RNA is filed under the name uncultured bacterium. RNAcentral's name for it is "partial 16S ribosomal RNA". It matches the Rfam family "Bacterial small subunit ribosomal RNA", at positions 100 to 334 of the family's 1533-position model. The record is from RNAcentral.